Molecule: non-coding RNA, 105 nt
Organism: Nicotiana attenuata
Lineage: Eukaryota; Viridiplantae; Streptophyta; Magnoliopsida; Solanales; Solanaceae
Source: Rfam
AUGCCAUGAUGUGGGCACCUAACCAGCAUACCUUUGAACCUCUCCCACGUUUCUUGUAAUGUUUCUAUUGGUUUCUGCCAAACUCAAUAUCUCAUCAAUUUGUUG